GCCUGGGUGGCUCAGUCGGUUAAGCAUCUGACUUCGGCUCAGGUCAGGAUCUCGCAGUUCGUGAGUUCAAGCCCCACGCUGGGCU
RNAcentral lists this transfer RNA (85 nucleotides) under Felis catus (domestic cat). It matches the Rfam family "tRNA". Rfam says of the family: Transfer RNA (tRNA) molecules are approximately 80 nucleotides in length. Their secondary structure includes four short double-helical elements and three loops (D, anti-codon, and T loops). Further hydrogen bonds mediate the characteristic L-shaped molecular structure. tRNAs have two regions of fundamental functional importance: the anti-codon, which is responsible for specific mRNA codon recognition, and the 3' end, to which the tRNAs corresponding amino acid is attached (by aminoacyl-tRNA synthetases). tRNAs cope with the degeneracy of the genetic code in two manners: having more than one tRNA (with a specific anti-codon) for a particular amino acid; and 'wobble' base-pairing, i.e. permitting non-standard base-pairing at the 3rd anti-codon position. The record is from Rfam by way of RNAcentral. Lineage: Eukaryota; Metazoa; Chordata; Mammalia; Carnivora; Felidae.